Long non-coding RNA from Choloepus didactylus (southern two-toed sloth), 957 nucleotides. RefSeq lists it as uncharacterized. The record is from RefSeq and is a predicted model, not a curated record. Lineage: Eukaryota; Metazoa; Chordata; Mammalia; Pilosa; Megalonychidae. The transcript has 3 exons.
AUUCUCAGCUUGCACAGAGGGGCCAAGAAAGACUGGGAGGGGUCUGGCCAGGUCAGGCCAUGACCCCCUGCACAUGCAGUUUCCUCAGGAAGGGCUGCACUUCAGCUCAUCUGCAGCUUCUACCUAAACAUGGUCUCAAACAAAGUCAACCACAAAAAAGACAAGAAAAGGGAGAAAAUUAAGGAUAUCUGUACAAAUGAAAAAAAGUUAUUCAUCUGAAGGGGACAUGUGAUCAAGACCAGCCAGGCCAGCCGUUGGGAAGGAAAGCUGGAUGAGAAGUGGAGGAGAACGAGGACAAACUGGAACCUGUAAGAACAAAUUGGAACCUAUCAGGACAACUGGAACUCCUGAGGACAAGGUGAAACCUGUGACUUCCUCUCACUGCUUCCAAGCUUAGUGACAUGGGUGACCUGCAGGACAAUGCAGAGCCCUUGGCCACAGAGCUAAAUGGCCCAGGACCCAGGAGUUGAAAGAUGAUAUUCAGCAGGAGCUGGGGAGCUGCAGGACUCGGUACUAUCCUUUAUCAACAAGAAGAGCCAGCACAAUCUGUGCCUGGUGUCCUGCUCAGUCCUUCACCAUGUAAAAACUGGCUACUAUUUCACUUCACCUUUCCAAAUCUUGCUUAAAAUUCCCCUGUGGUCAGCCCUAACCCAGAACCAUAGAAGAAGGGAAUCCUGGGUAACAGAGGUCCUACACUGAACUAAAUCAACACAGUUGAAGCCACCACAAGCAAGUACACCUGGAAGGGUAAAACUCUGUACCUGUGUUAGGGAAAAGCCAAACUAUAGCUCUGUCUCCUUGGUACAGCAGCUCACAACAGAUGCCCAACGACUCAACAGAAGUCUCUCCCUGCCUCCUUACUCUAACAAAUGCUAAGGGUAUGUUCUGGGGCCCUGGGAAAAAGCCCAGUGUUAUUUACAUAAAGUCAAUGGAGGUAUUGUUGAGGGUUUUCUGCUU